Molecule: ribosomal RNA, 445 nt
Filed under: uncultured archaeon
Lineage: Archaea
Description: bacterial SSU rRNA
Rfam family: Archaeal small subunit ribosomal RNA
Source: RNAcentral
UAGAAACACUAACGAAUAAGGGGUGGGCAAGUACGGUGUCAGCCGCCGCGGUAAAACCAGCACCUCAAGUGGUCAGGAUGAUUAUUGGGCCUAAAGCAUCCGUAGCCGGCUCUGUAAGUUUUCGGUUAAAUCUGUACGCUCAACGUACAGGCUGCCGGGAAUACUGCAAAACUAGGGAGUGGGAGAGGUAGACGGUACUCGGUAGGAAGGGGUAAAAUGCUUUGAUCUAUCGAUGACCACCUGUGGCGAAGGCGGUCUACCAGAACACGUCCGACGGUGAGGGAUGAAAGCUGGGGGAGCAAACCGGAUUAGAUACCCGGGUAGUCCCAGCUGUAAACUAUGCAAACUCAGUGAUGCAUUGGCUUGUGGCCAAUGCAGUGCUGCAGGGAAGCCGUUAAGUUUGCCGCCUGGGAAGUACGUACGCAAGUAUGAAACUUAAAGGGAU